This 73-nucleotide transfer RNA is filed under the name Brockia lithotrophica. It matches the Rfam family "tRNA". Rfam says of the family: Transfer RNA (tRNA) molecules are approximately 80 nucleotides in length. Their secondary structure includes four short double-helical elements and three loops (D, anti-codon, and T loops). Lineage: Bacteria; Bacillati; Bacillota; Bacilli; Thermicanales; Thermicanaceae. The record is from Rfam by way of RNAcentral.
GCCGGUGUAGCUCAAUCGGUAGAGCAGCCGCCUUGUAAGCGGCAGGCUGGAGGUUCGAGUCCUCUCGCCGGCA